UACGUAGGGCGCAAGCGUUGUCCGGAAUUAUUGGGCGUAAAGGGCUCGUAGGCGGUUCGUCACGUCGGGAGUGAAAACUCGGAGCUUAACUCCGAGCCUGCUUCCGAUACGGGCAGACUAGAGGUAGGCAGGGGAGAGCGGAACUCCUGGUGUAGCGGUGGAAUGCGCAGAUAUCAGGAAGAACACCGGUGGCGAAGGCGGCUCUCUGGGCCUUACCUGACGCUGAGGAGCGAAAGCGUGGGGAGCGAACAGG
Molecule: ribosomal RNA, 253 nt
Filed under: uncultured bacterium
Lineage: Bacteria
Description: partial 16S ribosomal RNA
Rfam family: Bacterial small subunit ribosomal RNA
Source: RNAcentral